UUUAAGCAAUCCUCAGCAACAAUAAAAAUCCCAAGAUCCCAAAUCAAUUUUUUUUAUGAACUUUAAUUUAAAUGAAUAAAAAUCAUCUGCAUCAAUAAAAUUCCAAAAUCUCAAACUUGAAUUUCUAAUGACAUUAAAGCAGUAAAUUAUGGUGGCCUUCUCAAGCAUACAACGAGAACAACACCAACUAUAUGUGCAGGAAAACCAUUCAAAACAAGCAACCAUAUAAGCUACAAGCACAGUAGGAAGAAGAGAUGAAUUAUCUUCAAUUCAUUCAUUCACCAAGGAUCUUUGUACAUCACCACAUGAAUGGUAACAACAAUAUAUCAAUCUGAAACCACGACUACCACAAGGACGGUAGCGCCGAUAUACCAGAACUGAAUCUAGUGAGGUUAAUGCAUCCCAAAACAGCGAACUCAAGGCAACAAUUUCACAAUAUCAAAAUAAUGGUUUAAACAAACUAAGCACAGUGGAAAAAUAGAAAAAACCAACCAAAAUAAAAAGGGGUAAAAUGCCGAUGAACUUAAUUGCUGAAAUGUUGAAUUGCUCGCUAUCAUUGAGGUUAGUUGGUCGCGAGUUGCUUGAACCUAAGCCAGAACCGCAUCACCCUGACCAAACGCUCCUUUGCGUGUCCAUUUGUCUAAAGACCACCUAAAAGACCCACUUUCCCAACUGAGACUUUCUAAGGCUGAUAUUAUCCGAAAAGGCACCACGUGACUUUCGUCACACAAAUCGUAACGAGACUUUCAGAUGUCCUGUUAAUGGCACGUUGAGGAAACGACCUGACGAUUACGUAUCAGAUCGAACGAAAUGCUCUUGAGUUGAUCUUGGGGCGACGCGAUUUAAACCCGAAAUGGGGUCAAAACCAAAACAGCUGAUUUCUUGUUUUUUGGGGAGAAUCGCGUUCUUGUGCAUGUGAUAGAUAGCAGGUUUUCGGUGGUGUGAGGG
Molecule: long non-coding RNA, 948 nt
Filed under: Lathyrus oleraceus (garden pea)
Lineage: Eukaryota; Viridiplantae; Streptophyta; Magnoliopsida; Fabales; Fabaceae
Description: Pisum sativum (pea) long non-coding RNA (PSAT_LNC033882)
Source: RNAcentral